This 229-nucleotide ribosomal RNA is filed under the name uncultured bacterium. RNAcentral's name for it is "partial 16S ribosomal RNA". It matches the Rfam family "Bacterial small subunit ribosomal RNA", at positions 568 to 796 of the family's 1533-position model. The record is from RNAcentral.
UGCGUAGGCGGCUAUUUAAGUCAGCGGUGAAAGACUCCGGCUUAACCGGAGCAGUGCCAUUGAUACUGGAUAGCUUGAGUGUUGGAGGGGUACAUGGAAUUGAUGGUGUAGCGGUGAAAUGCAUAGAUACCAUCAGGAACACCGAUAGCGAAGGCAUUGUACUGGCCAACAACUGACGCUGAGGCACGAAAGUGUGGGGAUCGAACAGGAUUAGAUACCCUGGUAGUCC